GACUCUCGGCAACGGAUAUCUUGGCUCUCGCAUCGAUGAAGAACGAAGCGAAAUGCGAUACUUGGUGUGAGUUGCAGAAUCUCGUGAACGAUCGAGUCUUUGAAAGCAAGUUGCCCCCGAGGGCCCUGGGCCAAGGGCACGCUUGCCUAGGGGUCA
Non-coding RNA from Nelumbo nucifera (sacred lotus), 156 nucleotides. NCBI's taxonomy places the organism in Eukaryota, Viridiplantae, Streptophyta, Magnoliopsida, Proteales, Nelumbonaceae. The record is from Rfam.